Molecule: ribosomal RNA, 253 nt
Filed under: uncultured bacterium
Lineage: Bacteria
Description: partial 16S ribosomal RNA
Rfam family: Bacterial small subunit ribosomal RNA
Source: RNAcentral
UACGUAGGGUGCAAGCGUUGUCCGGAAUUAUUGGGCGUAAAGAGCUCGUAGGCGGUCUGUCACGUCGGCUGUGGAAACCCGAGGCUCAACCUCGGGCCUGCAGUCGAUACGGGCAGACUAGAGUUCGGUAGGGGAGACUGGAAUUCCUGGUGUAGCGGUGAAAUGCGCAGAUAUCAGGAGGAACACCGGUGGCGAAGGCGGGUCUCUGGGCCGAAACUGACGCUGAGGAGCGAAAGCGUGGGGAGCGAACAGG